RNAcentral lists this ribosomal RNA (253 nucleotides) under uncultured bacterium. Its description in RNAcentral is "partial 16S ribosomal RNA". It matches the Rfam family "Bacterial small subunit ribosomal RNA", at positions 524 to 776 of the family's 1533-position model. The record is from RNAcentral.
UACAGAGGUGGCAAGCGUUGCUCGGUAUCACUGGGCUUAAAGGGCGCGUAGGCGGUGCGGUACGGUUUCGGUGAAAUCCCUCGGCCCAACCGAGGAACAGCCGGAGCUACGGCCGCACUAGACGGCAUCAGGGGACAGUGGAACUUCCGGUGGAGCGGUGAAAUGCGUAGAUUUCAGGAAGAACACCAAUGGCGACGGCAGCUCUCUGGGACGGUACUGACGCUGAGACGCGAAAGCGUGGGGAGCGAACAGG